UGGACCCACCUGAUUCCAUCCCGAACUCAGAAGUGAAACGAAACAGCGUCGAUGGUAGUGUGGGGUCUCCCCAUGUGAGAGUAGAACAUCGC
This 92-nucleotide ribosomal RNA is filed under the name Vibrio cholerae. Lineage: Bacteria; Pseudomonadati; Pseudomonadota; Gammaproteobacteria; Vibrionales; Vibrionaceae. The record is from RNAcentral.